CCUACAUCUGCUUAACUACAUCUAUGCUCCUGGAGGUCUUUGACUGGUGGACUUAUACAACAGUUCUUGAGGUCAUCCAUGAACUAUGCGGAAAUGGAACAAAGCCAGAAUCCUGGAGAACUUCAAUAUUUAAGAAGCAGGAAGAAAAAAAACAGCUAGGAAAGAAUUCAGAGAACAAAAAAGUCAAGUGGCAGAAGAACUAGAUCUACACAUGGCGAGCGUUAAGCAGAGGGCCACUGGGACCCGGUUGGACCAGCUGAGGACAGCUGGGGUCAGAAGGAAGGGAAGAGGUCCACGUGGGAUGACAUGUGCUUGGUAUUAGAUACUGCAGGAAGGAACCAGUUACAAUUCAGAAAGGAAACCCCUGGAGAAGGGGACAGGAAAAAGGAGCCUGCCGUUCUGGCGACUGUGCAGUCCCCUAGGAAGAAGAUGGAGGCAGAGGAAGGAGAGAGUCCAGGCUGGGUCUCAAACACAACGAGUACCCUGGCGGCGAGAGGGAUGAUGCUGAGGCCUGGAGAAUGGGAGUUGGAUAACCCAGUCUCAUCUAGACAACUACCUUUACAGGCAUCUCCUCCCUCCCAAUAUUUUGUUGGGUUGAGGAGCAUCCAGCGCACUCAGCAUCCAUUCCCACUCCUGGCGUGCCUUCCCACUCAGCAGAGGCUGGAGACAGACAUUACAACUCCAUGGCUGGCUUGCAGCGAGGGUUUGCCAUUCGAAUCGGGUUCUGCCAAUUAGAUGCACGCGUGCCAGAUUUGAGUGGGGGAAGUGAAGUGGAGACCAUUUUCCUGCUGUCUUUACUGUUUCUCCAGGCAAGAAAGAUCAUGAAGAUAGGAGACUGUGGCAGCCAUGAGAAUAAGUCUCUCACUUCUCCACUGCAAGGGCUGGAACAGACCCACCGCCUGCUACUGCGCUCUGAGAUCCACCAGCACAUUCACCCCCGGCAGCCGCGCUUCCCACGGGCUGGGAAUUAUCUCAUUUUAUUUAAUUCUCACAAUGAAGCAGACAACAGAGACGGAGACACACUGCCCGAGGACAGACAGCUAGCAAGUCAAAGGGCGAGAUUCAAGCCGUGAUGGCCAGUUCCAGACAGAAGUGUUUAACCACUGCCCAUUCUCAGACAGAGCAAGGCUCCAUCUGCCAAAUUACACGGGGAAUAGGCAACUCAGGUGGCUGAAUUUGGUCCAAGACUUGCUUGCAUUGUAAGGCAUCACCGAGAAGCGAGGUUUCGGAGGAAACUGCUUUCCUCACACACCUCUGAUCAUUGGAAACCAUGAAUACUCAACAAGAAGAAGCUGAUCGCUGUGAACUGGCAAAUUAGCCUAGGUCAGGUCACAAGAAUGGGCAUCUUUAAAGUUUGCUUUAUUGUGUCAAUAUCCCCUUCAGUGCUAUUAAAUACCAAGGAAAAAAUGAAACGCAACGAAAAUGAAGCUUGUCGUUUCC
This 1440-nucleotide long non-coding RNA is filed under the name Equus caballus (horse). RNAcentral describes it as "lncRNA (ENSECAG00000044604.1)". The record is from RNAcentral. Lineage: Eukaryota; Metazoa; Chordata; Mammalia; Perissodactyla; Equidae.